AGAACGAACGCUGGCGGCAGGCUUAACACAUGCAAGUCGAACGGUUGUAGCAAUACAGCAGUGGCAGACGGGUGAGUAACACGUGGGAACCUUCCUAGGGGUACGGAACAACUCAGGGAAACUUGAGCUAAUACCGUAUACGUCCGUGAGGAGAAAGAUUUAUCGCCCUUAGACGGGCCCGCGUAGGAUUAGGUAGUUGGUGGGGUAAUGGCCUACCAAGCCUACGAUCCUUAGCUGAUCUGAGAGGAUGAUCAGCCACACUGGGACUGAGACACGGCCCAGACUCCGUACGGGAGGCAGCA
RNAcentral lists this ribosomal RNA (302 nucleotides) under uncultured soil bacterium. RNAcentral describes it as "bacterial SSU rRNA". It matches the Rfam family "Bacterial small subunit ribosomal RNA", at positions 26 to 353 of the family's 1533-position model. The record is from RNAcentral.